RNAcentral lists this ribosomal RNA (468 nucleotides) under uncultured bacterium. RNAcentral's name for it is "partial 16S ribosomal RNA". It matches the Rfam family "Bacterial small subunit ribosomal RNA", at positions 28 to 507 of the family's 1533-position model. The record is from RNAcentral.
GACGAACGCUGGCGGCGUGCUUAAUACAUGCAAGUCGAACGGAAAGGCGCGGCGUUUGUGGGGUUCUCGAGUGGCGAACGGGGGAGUAACACGUGAGUAACCUGCCCUUGACUUUGGGAUAACUUCAGGAAACUGGGGCUAAUACCGGGUAGGAGCUCCUGCUGCAUGGUGGGGGUUGGAAAGUUUCGGCGGUGGGGGAUGGACUGGCUGGUUAUCAGCUUGUUGGGGGGGUAGGGGCGUACCAAGGUUUUGACGGGUAGCCGGCCUGGGAGGGUGACCGGCCACAUUAGGACUGCGGUACGCCCCAGAAGGCAACGGGCGGCAACAGUGGGGAAUAUUACGCAAUAGGGGGAAGCCAGAUGUAGAAACGCCGCGUGCGGAAUGCUGGGUUUCGGGUUGUAAACCGCUUUCGAAUGUGCCGAAGAGUGCUUGACGGUAAUGGAUAAAGAAGCACCGGCUAACUACGUG